UACGUAGGGUGCGAGCGUUAAUCGGAAUUACUGGGCGUAAAGCGUGCGCAGGCGGUUUUGUAAGCCAGAUGUGAAAUCCCCGGGCUUAACCUGGGAAUGGCAUUUGGGACUGCAAGGCUUGAGUGUGGCAGAGGGGACUGGAAUUCCUGGUGCAGCAGUGAAAUGCGUAGAGAUCAGGAGGAAUACCGAUGGCGAAGGCAGGUCCCUGGGCUGACACUGACGCUCAUGCACGAAAGCGUGGGGAGCAAACAGG
RNAcentral lists this ribosomal RNA (253 nucleotides) under uncultured bacterium. RNAcentral's name for it is "partial 16S ribosomal RNA". It matches the Rfam family "Bacterial small subunit ribosomal RNA", at positions 524 to 776 of the family's 1533-position model. The record is from RNAcentral.